UGCCCAGAAACUCCUAUCCCUAACUCCUCGUGGUACUGCCCGGGGUACGAGUAUCCUUGGGGAAAAUCGGGUAACUAAUCCCGGUAGGAACUUUGGUCGUAUGCUGACAGGGAAGA
This 116-nucleotide ribozyme is filed under the name Aedes aegypti (yellow fever mosquito). RNAcentral describes it as "drz-agam-1 ribozyme". It matches the Rfam family "drz-agam-1 ribozyme". Lineage: Eukaryota; Metazoa; Arthropoda; Insecta; Diptera; Culicidae. The record is from Rfam by way of RNAcentral.